GCGAGUUUGCUGUGGUGUCUGAGCUUGUGAACCGCUACCUCCCGUGCGGUGCGGUUUACGGUUUUGCCCAAGGUGUCCGUUAACUGAAGGAAAUUGCACCACUUCAUCAGAGAACUAGAGUACUUUCUCUCAGCAAGGCUGAGAAUAGACCUGAGAAACUGGCAGGUACAUCUUGUUCCAAAGUCCUGUGUUGCGUACUGUGAUGCUGGUGUUUUUUUUCUGAUACUCCCCAUCUUGGUUAACUGAGUCCAUAUCAAGUGUACCCAGGUUCACAUGGUGGGUGGUUUCUUUCCCAGGUUGUGGGCAUUGCAGAGGCCUAGUUGAGGAUGCACUUCUUGGAUUGUGGUCUGGGAGUUGGUCAAUCUCCUGGAUGUGUGGUGGUUGAAGGGCCAACUUGAGAACCUCAUCUGAACUAAGGCGCUUACUACCUUGUGUUGGUUUCCUGCAGCAUGUCUUCUGUCGUGAAGUGGGAACCACAUCAUGAGGCUGCAGGCAGACACUGCCUAGGUGGAAGCUCUGCUCUGUGAAGGAGAAUUGGCUGCUUGGAUCUGCACAGGCAUCAUGACUUGGACCUACUCCUGAGGCAUGCCACCCCCUGACUGGAUUUGAGGUGCCAGUUAAUUCUGGUCCUGACCAUCUGUCCUAAAAUGGGUCCAUACAGACCUUGUGUGCAUACAGGUUUGAAAUCCUUGGCAGCAGUCCUGGCCAGACACGGAUGAAAAAGGGUCCAUACAGAAAAACGAUCUGAAUGUGUGCUGAGGAGUGGGGAGGUCCAUGCCACGUUUCCGGACCUGAUUUCAACGAGGUUGCCUGCAUCCUCAGUGAUUUGGGUCCCAGCUACCCCCAAGCUCUACUCCCUCCCUGUCUGCGUCAAGACUUUUUUUUUUUUUUUUUUUUUUUUUUUGCCAUCACCAUGUUCCAGCAUGGCUUUUCCCUUGUACUACAGUGUUUAUUUCAAUAAAUGUGUGGCUUUCACAUUG
Clupea harengus (Atlantic herring) is the source of this 980-nucleotide long non-coding RNA. The record is from Ensembl. NCBI's taxonomy places the organism in Eukaryota, Metazoa, Chordata, Actinopteri, Clupeiformes, Clupeidae.